UGAGAGAAGUGUUUCUUGGCCCUGCCAUUU
Molecule: non-coding RNA, 30 nt
Filed under: Mus musculus (house mouse)
Lineage: Eukaryota; Metazoa; Chordata; Mammalia; Rodentia; Muridae
Source: RNAcentral